Molecule: ribosomal RNA, 469 nt
Filed under: uncultured bacterium
Lineage: Bacteria
Description: partial 16S ribosomal RNA
Rfam family: Bacterial small subunit ribosomal RNA
Source: RNAcentral
GAUGAACGCUGGCGGCGUGCUUAACACAUGCAAGUCGAACGGUGAACACGGAGCUUGCUCUGUGGGAUCAGUGGCGAACGGGUGAGUAACACGUGAGCAACCUGCCCCUGACUCUGGGAUAAGCGCUGGAAACGGCGUCUAAUACUGGAUAUGUGACGUGACCGCAUGGUCUGCGUUUGGAAAGAUUUUUCGGUUGGGGAUGGGCUCGCGGCCUAUCAGCUUGUUGGUGAGGUAAUGGCUCACCAAGGCGUCGACGGGUAGCCGGCCUGAGAGGGUGACCGGCCACACUGGGAUUGAGACACGGCCCAGACUCCUACGGGAGGCAGCAGUGGGGAAUAUUGCACAAUGGGCGGAAGCCUGAUGCAGCAACGCCGCGUGAGGGAUGACGGCCUUCGGGUUGUAAACCUUUUUUAGCAGGGAAGAAGCGAAAGUGACGGUACCUGCAGAAAAAGCGCCGGCUAACUACGUG